AAAAAAAAAAAAAUCCACAGCCUUGUCAUGGCUAAACAAUGAGGAACAGAAAGCCCCUUGGCAAAGCAGAACAAAAGGUCACUCCCUCCACAGCAGCAGUCCCCAGGAGCAGGGGGCUGGGCCCAAACCACAGCCCUGGGAGCCGGCCUCUGGUCAGUACAGGGGCCCCCCAGGAGGUCCCCAAAACAUGGCAAGCAUUCUCUAGGAAAUGCAGGGCUACAGAAGCUUCCAGUUCCUGUGCCUUGGAUUGGGGAGGCUCCAAUUCACACCCCACUCACCCCACAGGGGAUCUUUGACAUGUUAAAAUGAGGAAAUAAGUUGGAUAGUACUUGAUUCAGUCAGCGUGUUCAGCAAACUACAAUCUUCCAAAAUAUGGGGGCCUCAAGUGAAAAAUUGAAAAUCACUGUUGAGGGUUAACUGAC
RNAcentral lists this long non-coding RNA (422 nucleotides) under Homo sapiens (human). RNAcentral's name for it is "HSALNT0001822". Lineage: Eukaryota; Metazoa; Chordata; Mammalia; Primates; Hominidae. The record is from RNAcentral.